Molecule: ribosomal RNA, 953 nt
Filed under: Didymella segeticola
Lineage: Eukaryota; Fungi; Ascomycota; Dothideomycetes; Pleosporales; Didymellaceae
Description: SSU rRNA
Rfam family: Eukaryotic small subunit ribosomal RNA
Source: RNAcentral
AUAGUACCUACUACUUGGAUAGCCGUGGUAAUCUAGAGCUAAUACAUGCUGAAAACCCCAACUUCGGGAGGGGUGUAUUUAUUAGAUAAAAAACCCAACGCCUUCGGGGCUUCUUGGUGAUUCAUGAUAACUUCACGGAUCGCAUGGCCUUGCGCCGGCGACGGUUCAUUCAAAUUUCUGCCCUAUCAACUUUCGAUGGUAAGGUAUUGGCUUACCAUGGUUUCAACGGGUAACGGGGAAUUAGGGUUCGAUUCCGGAGAGGGAGCCUGAGAAACGGCUACCACAUCCAAGGAAGGCAGCAGGCGCGCAAAUUACCCAAUCCCGACACGGGGAGGUAGUGACAAUAAAUACUGAUACAGGGCUCUUUUGGGUCUUGUAAUUGGAAUGAGUACAAUUUAAACCUCUUAACGAGGAACAAUUGGAGGGCAAGUCUGGUGCCAGCAGCCGCGGUAAUUCCAGCUCCAAUAGCGUAUAUUAAAGUUGUUGCAGUUAAAAAGCUCGUAGUUGAAACUUGGGCCUGGCUGGCAGGUCCGCCUCACCGCGUGUACUUGUCCGGCCGGGCCUUUCCUUCUGGAGAACCUCAUGCCCUUCACUGGGUGUGUUGGGGAACCAGGACUUUUACUUUGAAAAAAUUAGAGUGUUCAAAGCAGGCCUUUGCUCGAAUACGUUAGCAUGGAAUAAUAGAAUAGGACGUGCGGUCCUAUUUUGUUGGUUUCUAGGACCGCCGUAAUGAUUAAUAGGGACAGUCGGGGGCAUCAGUAUUCAAUUGUCAGAGGUGAAAUUCUUGGAUUUAUUGAAGACUAACUACUGCGAAAGCAUUUGCCAAGGAUGUUUUCAUUAAUCAGUGAACGAAAGUUAGGGGAUCGAAGACGAUCAGAUACCGUCGUAGUCUUAACCGUAAACUAUGCCGACUAGGGAUCGGGCGAUGUUCUUUUUCUGACUCGCUCGGCACC